UACGGAAUGUGCAAACGUUAUUCGGAAUUACUGGGCUUACAGAGUUCGUAGGCGGCUCCGAAAGUUGGGUGUGAAAUCCCUCGGCCCAACCGAGGAAUUGCGCUCAAAACUACUGAGCUUGAGGGGUAUAGAGGUAAGCGGAACUGAUGGUGGAGCGGUGAAAUGCGUUGAUAUCAUCAGGAACACCGGUGGCGAAGGCGGCUUACUGGGUAGCUCCUGACGCUGAGGAACGAAAGCUAGGGGAGCGAACGGG
RNAcentral lists this ribosomal RNA (253 nucleotides) under uncultured bacterium. RNAcentral describes it as "partial 16S ribosomal RNA". It matches the Rfam family "Bacterial small subunit ribosomal RNA", at positions 524 to 776 of the family's 1533-position model. The record is from RNAcentral.